GCCGAGGUGGUGGAAUGGCAGACACGCAAGACUUAAAAUCUUGUGCCAGCAAUGGCGUGAGGGUUCGAUCCCCUCUCUCGGCA
Molecule: transfer RNA, 83 nt
Filed under: Candidatus Curtissbacteria bacterium
Lineage: Bacteria; Candidatus Curtissiibacteriota
Description: tRNA-Leu
Rfam family: tRNA
About the family: Transfer RNA (tRNA) molecules are approximately 80 nucleotides in length. Their secondary structure includes four short double-helical elements and three loops (D, anti-codon, and T loops). Further hydrogen bonds mediate the characteristic L-shaped molecular structure. tRNAs have two regions of fundamental functional importance: the anti-codon, which is responsible for specific mRNA codon recognition, and the 3' end, to which the tRNAs corresponding amino acid is attached (by aminoacyl-tRNA synthetases). tRNAs cope with the degeneracy of the genetic code in two manners: having more than one tRNA (with a specific anti-codon) for a particular amino acid; and 'wobble' base-pairing, i.e. permitting non-standard base-pairing at the 3rd anti-codon position.
Source: RNAcentral